Equus caballus (horse) is the source of this 4021-nucleotide non-coding RNA. The record is from RefSeq and is a predicted model, not a curated record. Lineage: Eukaryota; Metazoa; Chordata; Mammalia; Perissodactyla; Equidae.
AAUGUAAAUAUUCUUGGGAGUAACAUAUUAUGAUGCUAAAGAAUUAAUGGAUAAAAUGAAUUUAGCUAAUCCUAAAGCUCAUCCUCAGCCUUGAGGCUCAGGGAGGGGACUUGGAGAGGAGAACAAGACAGCACAAGCACCUUCAUGAAUUAGUUUAACUGGAAUUAGUUUAACUGGAAGCUUUCCUGCUGACAGCUUGCUGAUAUGUGUCAAAGGUGGAAGGAAGGAGACUGACAGAAUGGGAGCAAGAGAGGAAAACAGGCUAAUCUUGGAGUCUGGACCUCUGUGAGAGAAAGGAGUCCUGAGUGGAGGGUACCUGAGCAACCUGAAGAGAAACUAGAUGAUGAUAUACCCUGCACGAAGAAGUGGAGGGCCAGGCAGGCAGAUUAUAGUUCAGAUCCAGAUGUUGAAUGGGAGAGCAGAAAUGAAGCAAAUACCCACAGCUGUAAAUGGUGAUUUCUAAAUUUCUGGUAACAUCAAGAAACCAAGCUGUUCUGGAUGAAAAUGAGAGGUUACCUGUGCAGUGAAAAGUGUUUCAAUUGGUGAGUUUUUUCCCCAACUUUUUUUGACUCCUGCUCAUAGUAAGAAAUACAUCACAACCCUGAACAUACAAAUCUUUGAAUAGACAUAUAUGAAUAGAUGUAACUGAAACAGAGACUUGCUCCUGAAACAUUAUGUACAUUUAUUAUUUGAAAUGAAUUUUGAUCUUUUCUAGUCUCCCCUUUUUCAUUAACUUUUUCUCAAGAUCACUAAUGGGUUGCCACCUGCAGUAUGAAUAACACUUCUAGAGAUAUGUUCUUCUCUAAGAAGAGGUUUAUAGAUUUCAGUGACUGCAUGGCAUUGCUUGUUCUCAUAGAGGUGUUGUGGAUGGCAGGAUAAAGAGGAAAAUUCAUCUUCACUUCCCCAGGGAGGAGUGAAAAGCUGUGAAAGGGAAAUGAACCCAGCUAAUCACCUUGGCUCAACAUAGAUUGAACUGUUGGUGCCAUACAUGCAUGUUACACAAUAUUAUGUUAGUCAGACUUCCACAAAUGUACCAAUGCUGGGCUUUUGUGUUCCAAUGUCUUCUUGGAGUCCUAGGACCAAGGUUAGAAAUGAGGGCUGUCAACUAUCUUGGAAAAUCUUGGAACUGAAACAAGGUUGGGUGAUGGCUUUAAGGGAGAAAGAAAUGUCUCUGGGACCUCUGACUCUAAAUCCCCUUCCUCACUGUGCUAGCUCUGGUUCACACCUGCAUCCUCUUGGCCUGAUUUCUGGACUAGGCUUUUGGCCUUAAGGACCUCUUUAAAGGAUUCAGCGCUGCCUCUGUGUCUCGCCUGAACAGAGUGCUCUCCUGUUGGUGAAAUACUUUUCUGUCACAUUUUUCCUUUGCUCCCCAACACUGGGGAAUGGGCAGGGCAUAUUGUGAGCAUCAUUUUGCAGAUAAAGGAACUGAGAUUUAAAUAGAGAGUUUAAAUGACUCUCAAAUUAGCUUGGAGAACUGGGGCUAGAGCUAUAAGAGGGCAUUUACUCUAGAUUGUAGAGUUUCCCAAACUCAUUUUCCCAGAGAAUCAUUUCUGCAAACACCUAUCAGUAUUUGAAGGACGCCAGUUUUCCAAGAAACACAGUUUGGGGAAUUCCAUUCUAGUCCAAUUUCCUCUUUUCAUAGAUCAGGCUUGGGAGAGUCCAUUUCCAAGAGAUAAUUAAAUAAAAGAUACAAAAGGGAUAGGAACUGGAAUGCAGACUUACUCUGCCAAGUCUUUAUAGGUUGCUGUAUAUGGUGAGAAUUUUUGUAUGCUUGUACUUUUGUAGUAUUUACAUCAGCCUGGCUCUUGGUGUCCCAGAUGAGAGAGGAAAAGAUGUAUUUGAAGGUGUCAGUGCCCUUUAGCCAAAGACCACUGGAAGCAUACUUGGUUAAAUAAGUUGGGUUUAUUACUCAUUGUAGGGAACCAUGGGGUACUCUCAGUGAGAGUGUGUUGGAAAGAACAUAUUAUAGGAUUUGGGCUUCAGUUGGCUGAGUUAGGGGAGAGUCUCAGGAAGCAGGAGUUUCGUCUAGACUGGAUGCUGUCAGAAAGCGAGGACAAUUCUAUGAUUGGGCAUUUUGUGGGUGGCACAGUGACCUUGUUUUUGUUUGUGCUUAAACCAAAUUAUGAAGUGGUCUUGUUUCAUUUUAUCGUGAUCUCAGAGUAACCUUGUUCGAGGCGGGUGUUCUGUGAGUUUGUUUAUGUCCAAGAGGAGAACAAAAAUGGCCUGGCUGUGAAUGUCAGAUGAGCUUAUAAAAAUAUUGAAGUUUAGUUGUGAACAUCAGAUUAGUUUGGAUAUCAGAGGUUGUUUUUUUUCUUUUUCAGAGGUCAUUAUUCUUAAUCAUCUCAAAUAUUAAAGAGUAAAACAGAUCUUUUUGUCUGAAGCCAAGGCUCAUCCAAGGGAGCAUAACCUUGUUCGGGGUGGGGUCUUAACUGCUGAGUCAUAGGAAACAAUUAAAGCAAAGAAACCUCACAAGCAGGUGGCCAACACUUUGUGAGUAUAUCAGAUUCUUAUUCCACAUAAUCUUCAAUAGAAUAAAAGAGAAAGAAACAGAUCUUCCUGAUUUGGGCCAAGAACACUCAAGAGGCACACUCACAGAAUUGCAUUAGAACGGAGAGGCGAUAGUUGUGAACUCAAAACCUGGCUUAUAGAGCAACACUUGCCAUUGUCACACAACUGGUUAGUGUCAGAUUUAGGACUAGAACUCAGGCCUCUGACCCCCAGUUCGGUGCUAUUAAAUCCCCAGUGCCUAGCACAUGGCCUGGUACACAGCAGGCAUCCAGGGAAGGGUUACUGAAUGGAUCAAUGAAUUCAGCACAGAUAUUUAGUUUGGAAAUGGAUUGGCCAAAGGUGACAGUGAAAUCGGUCAUCAUUUAACUGACUGAAUAUGACUGGCCUCCCGACUUGCCCUGCCCCUGCCUGCCAUUCUCAGCUUAGCCCUUCUGCCCAAGACGCUUAGUCUUCAAAAGGAAGCAUAGGCUCAGGUAGUUCCUGUUUCUUCUACAGCCUCUGAUCUGUGUCUGCGGCAGACCGAAGUUGCUUGUAUUGGUUCUCCAGCAAUAGGUCUCAGCAAUACUCAGGAACCAACGAAAACCCUUUGAAGAGUCCUUUAUGUAGAGAGGUAAAUUUUCUGAAUAAAAAAAUGUUACAACAUUCAUUUUUCAACAUCAAUCAAAUUGGCACUCAUACAUAGGAGUUGACAUUAUUCAUAAUGGCAUCUAGAACCAAUUGUUUUUCUCCCUUUCUGGCCCUUAAUAAGUAUGUUUUCCAUGGAAACGAUCAAUCAUAUUUUAAAUUACUUCAGAACUCAUAAGAUCUGAUCAUCAUUCCUAUACUUAAUGCUGCACCCCCAAUGCUUUUGAAGGAUAAUGGGACUGGAAGGGAAGUAAAUAUUUCCUUCUUACAGCAGUGUAGCUCAUAAUUAAUUAUCAUCAUCUCCUAUUAAUGAGAUAUCUUUGAUCCUGCUAAUUGAUAAUGAGACUAUUUUCCUAAGCACAGAAUAAAAGCAAUAUUAAACUGUUUAGUCUUUGUCCGCUUAAUGGCCAAACAUUAAUCAAGUGAGUUUAUAGGAACAAUUAAUCAAAAAGUUUAAAUAACUGAUUUUUUAAUGAUUUGCUGGCCACACUGGUUAAGAAAACCUCUUACUUAGCACAUUGGCUUUCUCAAUAGCAGAGAGGUAAUUUUAGUGAGCUUGAAGGAACAUUAGGGAAGGGGACUACAAGAUAGAAUGAACUAUAGGGUCGUCAUUAUCAUAACACAACCAUGAUGCUUUCACAUAAUUAUUACUACUUCACAGAAGUCCUGUGAGGUGUAAUUUUUAUUCCCAUUUUACAGAUAAGGACCUCAGGGCUACAAGAUGUUAGGAAAUUCAUCCAAUGUAAGUGGUAGAACCAAAAUUUAAAUGCAAAUUUUUGAACUCUAAAUCCUAUUCUGGGUUCAGCACUUUUUGCUAUAUCACUUAGCCUCGUAAUCUGAUUAAUGUCAAAAGAAAAUAUGAAGUGCCUGCCAGUGGCCGAGGGGUUAA